Molecule: long non-coding RNA, 196 nt
Organism: Selaginella moellendorffii
Lineage: Eukaryota; Viridiplantae; Streptophyta; Lycopodiopsida; Selaginellales; Selaginellaceae
Exons: 3
Source: RefSeq, a predicted model, not a curated record
ACGGAAAGCUUCAGCACGCCAGUUAUUGUUGACAACCUUUGGGGCUUGGGAAUCGUCCAGCAUUGCUAAUCGCCUACGGUGACAAUCACAACUGCGCUUUGACAGUUGAGGGUCAGCUGGGGACGAGGAAAGUAUGGGCAGAUUGGCUGUGGAAGCGUUGAGAACCAUUUGCAGCCGGUGCCUGUCACGGCUCUCA